This 253-nucleotide ribosomal RNA is filed under the name uncultured bacterium. Its description in RNAcentral is "partial 16S ribosomal RNA". It matches the Rfam family "Bacterial small subunit ribosomal RNA", at positions 524 to 776 of the family's 1533-position model. The record is from RNAcentral.
UACGUAGGGACCAAGCGUUGUUCGGAUUUACUGGGCGUAAAGGGCGCGUAGGCGGCGCGGUAAGUCACUUGUGAAAUCUCUGAGCUUAACUCAGAACGGCCAAGUGAUACUGCAGUGCUAGAGUGCAGAAAGGGCAAUCGGAAUUCUUGGUGUAGCGGUGAAAUGCGUAGAUAUCAAGAGGAACACCAGUGGCGAAGGCGAGUCCCUGGACGAUACCUGACACUGAGGCACGAAAGCCAAGGGAGCAAACAGG